CGACACCGUCCAGCAAAACGUGAAGCGUGUACUGGGUCCAUAGCAACGAAAGGCUGAACAACCAGUUUAUGUAUAAAAUACUUUGAUGCGAACAGUCUUACGCGUAUUCACGCCGUCCAUCAAAAAUGUCGUCAACUUUUAGCGCUCCUGGUCGGCCAAAUUAUGUGAAGUUGUCAGCUGUGAAAGAGGGGAUGUACCACCCCAAAAUACCAACAUUUCGUCGCAUGGACAUGGACACUGCAGCACAUAAAUUACCAGAAGAACAUUGUCGAACUACGACUACAUGUGGACCCGGAGAUUUCAAGAAUGCGAACAUCACAUUGUUUCGAUCCCCUGCCAGAUCACUGUCAUGUACGAGGAUUACAGAAACUGGACGCUCGUUGAGGGAGAUAUAUCCACCUUCAAAUUUUCAACUAAG
This 418-nucleotide small RNA is filed under the name Saccoglossus kowalevskii. RNAcentral describes it as "testis, prostate and placenta expressed". The record is from RNAcentral. Lineage: Eukaryota; Metazoa; Hemichordata; Enteropneusta; Harrimaniidae.